CGAAGAUGGCGACCGGCGCACGGGUGAGUAACACGUAUCCAACCUGCCGAUAACUCGGGGAUAGCCUUUCGAAAGAAAGAUUAAUACCCGAUGGUAUAAUCAGACCGCAUGGUUUGAUUAUUAAAGAAUUUCGGUUAUCGAUGGGGAUGCGUUCCAUUAGGCAGUUGGUGAGGUAACGGCUCACCAAACCUUCGAUGGAUAGGGGUUCUGAGAGGAAGGUCCCCCACAUUGGAACUGAGACACGGUCCAA
RNAcentral lists this ribosomal RNA (250 nucleotides) under uncultured bacterium. Its description in RNAcentral is "partial 16S ribosomal RNA". It matches the Rfam family "Bacterial small subunit ribosomal RNA", at positions 83 to 334 of the family's 1533-position model. The record is from RNAcentral.